Molecule: ribosomal RNA, 399 nt
Filed under: uncultured bacterium
Lineage: Bacteria
Description: bacterial SSU rRNA
Rfam family: Bacterial small subunit ribosomal RNA
Source: RNAcentral
AUUGAACGCUGGCGGCAUGCUUUACACAUGCAAGUCGAGCGGCAGCGCGGGGGCAACCCUGGCGGCGAGCGGCGAACGGGUGAGUAAUGCAUCGGAACGUACCCUGGAGUGGGGGGAUAACGCCGCGAAAGCGGCGCUAAUACCGCAUAUGCUCUGAGGAGGAAAGUGGGGGGACCGCAAGGCCUCACGCUCUGGGAGCGGCCGAUGUCCGAUUAGCUAGUUGGUGGGGUAAAGGCUUACCAAGGCGACGAUCGGUAGCUGGUCUGAGAGGAUGAUCAGCCACACUGGGACUGAGACACGGCCCAGACUCCUACGGGAGGCAGCAGUGGGGAAUUUUGGGACAAUGGGGGCAGCCCUGAUCCAGCCAUGCCGCGUGAGUGAAGAAGGCCUUCGGGUUGG